CGGGGAAUAUUGCGCAAUGGGCGAAAGCCUGACGCAGCAACGCCGCGUGAGGGAUGAAGGCUCUCGGGUUGUAAACCUCUUUCAGCAGGGACGCGGUACCCGCAGAAGAAGCCCCAGCCAACUACGUGCCAGCAGCCGCGGUAACACGUAGGGGCGAAGCGUUGUCCGGAUUUAUUGGGCGUAAAGAGCUCGUAGGUGGUUCGAUAAGUCGGGUGUGAAAACUCUGGGCUCAACUCAAAGACGCCACCCGAUACUGUCGGACUUGAGUCUGGUAGGGGAGUGUGGAAUUCCCGGUGUAGCGGUGAAAUGCGCAGAUAUCGGGAGGAACACCAGUGGCGAAGGCGGCACUCUGGGCCAGUACUGACACUGAGGAGCGAAAGCGUGGGUAGCGAACAGGAUUAGAUACCCGUGUAGU
RNAcentral lists this ribosomal RNA (415 nucleotides) under uncultured bacterium. RNAcentral describes it as "bacterial SSU rRNA". It matches the Rfam family "Bacterial small subunit ribosomal RNA", at positions 355 to 794 of the family's 1533-position model. The record is from RNAcentral.